This 253-nucleotide ribosomal RNA is filed under the name uncultured bacterium. RNAcentral's name for it is "partial 16S ribosomal RNA". It matches the Rfam family "Bacterial small subunit ribosomal RNA", at positions 524 to 776 of the family's 1533-position model. The record is from RNAcentral.
UACGGGGGGGGCAAGCGUUGUUCGGAAUUACUGGGCGUAAAGGGCUCGUAGGCGGCCAACUAAGUCGGAUGUGAAAUCCCCAGGCUUAACCUGGGAACUGCAUCCGAUACUGGAUGGCUUGAAUCCGGGAGAGGGAUGCAGAAUUCCAGGUGUAGCGGUGAAAUGCGUAGAUAUCUGGAGGAAUACCGGUGGCGAAGGCGGCAUCCUGGACCGGCAUUGACGCUGAUGACCGAAAGCCAGGGGAGCAAACGGG